UGAUGACGAGACGCUAAGGCGUUGAAGUGGUGUAUGUCAGACUUCCAAGAAAAGCUCGCAAUGUCAUAGAUAAAAAAUGCCUGUACCAUAACCGACACAGGUGGGUAGGUAGAGUAUACUAAGGGGCGCGAGAUAACUCUCUCUAAGGAACUCGGCAAAAUGACUCCGUAACUUCGGGAGAAGGAGUGCCUUAUUUAUAAGGUUGCAAUAACAAGAUCCAAGCAACUGUUUAUCAAAAACACAGGUCUCCGCUAAGUCGUAAGACGAUGUAUGGGGGCUGACGCCUGCCCAGUGCCAGAAGGUUAAAGAAGUUGGUUAGUGUAAGCGAAGCUGAUAACUGAAGCCCUGGUGAACGGCGGCCGUAACAAUAACGGUCCUAAGGUAGCGAAAUUCCUUGUCGGGUAAGUUCCGACCCGCACGAAAGGCGUAAUAAUUUGGAUACUGUCUCGGAGAGAGGCUCGGUGAAAUAGACUUGUCUGUGAAGAUGCGGACUACCUGCACCAGGACAGAAAGACCCUAUGAAGCUUUACUGUAACUUGAAAUUGGAAUUGGACUUUGCUUGCGCAGUAUAGGUGGGAAGCGUUGAAGAUACUCUUGCGGGACUAUUGGAGCUAUCAGUGAGAUACCACUCUUGUAAUGUUGGAUUUCUAACUUUGAACCAUAAUCUGGCCAAAGAACAGUUUCAGGCGGGCAGUUUGACUGGGGCGGUCGCCUCCUAAAUGGUAACGGAGGCGUACAAAGGUUUCCUCUGAACGGAUAGAAAUCGUAUCUAGAGUGUAAAGGCAUAAGGAAGCUUGACUGUGAGACCUACAAGUCGAGCAGGGACGAAAGUCGGUCUUAGUGAUCUGACGGUACUGAGUGGAAAGGCCGUCACUCAACGGAUAAAAGUUACUCUAGGGAUAACAGGCUGAUCUCCCCCAAGAGUUCACAUCGACGGGGAGGCUUGGCACCUCGAUGUCGGCUCAUCGCAUCCUGGGGCGGUAGUACGUCCCAAGGGUUGGGCUGUUCGCCCAUGAAAGCGGUACGCGAGCUGGGUUCAGAACGUCGUGAGACAGUUCGGUCCAUAUCCGGUGUUGGCGUUAGAAUAUUGAGAGGAGCCUUCUUUAGUACGAGAGGACCGAGAAGGACACACCGCUGGUGUACCAGUUAUCGUGCCAACGGUAAACGCUGGGUAGCUAUGUGUGGAGAGGAUAACCGCUGAAAGCAUCUAAGUGGGAAGCCCACCUCAAGAUGAGUAUUCUC
RNAcentral lists this ribosomal RNA (1242 nucleotides) under metagenome. Its description in RNAcentral is "bacterial LSU rRNA". It matches the Rfam family "Bacterial large subunit ribosomal RNA", at positions 1564 to 2815 of the family's 2925-position model. The record is from RNAcentral.